RNAcentral lists this ribosomal RNA (425 nucleotides) under uncultured prokaryote. RNAcentral describes it as "bacterial SSU rRNA". It matches the Rfam family "Bacterial small subunit ribosomal RNA", at positions 355 to 796 of the family's 1533-position model. The record is from RNAcentral.
UCGAGAAUCUUCGGCAAUGGACGCAAGUCUGACCGAGCGACGCCGCGUGCGGGAUGAAGGCCCUCGGGUUGUAAACCGCUGUCAGAGGGGAUGAAAUUUUGACAGAUCCUCAGAGGAAGUACGGGCUAAGUUCGUGCCAGCAGCCGCGGUAAGACGAACCGUACAAACGUUAUUCGGAAUCACUGGGCUUAAAGGGUGCGCAGGCGGCGCGGAAAGUUGGGUGUGAAAUCCCUCGGCUCAACCGAGGAACUGCGCCCAAAACUACCGUGCUUGAGGGAGACAGAGGUGAGCGGAACUUAGGGUGGAGCGGUGAAAUGCGUUGAUAUCCUAAGGAACACCGGUGGCGAAAGCGGCUCACUGGGUCUCUUCUGACGCUCAUGCACGAAAGCUAGGGGAGCGAACGGGAUUAGAUACCCCCGUAGUCC